RNAcentral lists this ribosomal RNA (577 nucleotides) under Ouroporopterus squamiventris. RNAcentral's name for it is "partial 16S ribosomal RNA". The record is from RNAcentral. Lineage: Eukaryota; Metazoa; Arthropoda; Insecta; Coleoptera; Curculionidae.
GAUAGAAACCGACCUGGCUCACACCGGUUUAAACUCAGAUCAUGUAAAAUUUUAAAGGUCGAACAGACCUAAUUUAUCAGCUUCUACACCAAUAAUUUCUUUUAAUCCAACAUCGAGGUCGCAAUCUUUUUUUUCGAUAAGAACUCUAAAAAUAAUUACGCUGUUAUCCCUAAGGUAAUUUCAUCUUUUAAUCUUCAAUUAAGGAUCAAAAAUUCAUAAAUUAAUGAUUAUAUAAAAAAAAAGUUUAAUUAAUUUUUCAAUCACCCCAAUAAAAUAAUCUUUUAAAUAAAUAUAAUAAUCCUAAAAUUUUAUCUAUUCAAAAAACUAUUAAACUCUAUAGGGUCUUCUCGUCUUCUAUAAAUAUUUAAGCUUUUUUACUUAAAAAUAAACUUCAAAAAAAAAUUAAAUAGAGACAGCUAUUUUUUCAUUAAACCCUUCAUACAAGCUUUUAAUUAAAAAACUAAUGAUUAUGCUACCUUUGCACGGUCAAAAUACCGCGGCCAUUAAAUUCAAUCUAUCAUUGGGCAGGUUAGACCUAAAAUUAAAAUCAAUAGGCCAUGUUUUUAAUAAACAGGCG